Molecule: ribosomal RNA, 475 nt
Filed under: uncultured organism
Description: partial 16S ribosomal RNA
Rfam family: Bacterial small subunit ribosomal RNA
Source: RNAcentral
CACUCCUACGGGAGGCAGCAGUGGGGAAUUUUGGACAAUGGGCGAAAGCCUGAUCCAGCAAUGCCGCGUGAGUGAAGAAGGCCUUCGGGUUGUAAAGCUCUUUUGUCAGGGAAGAAACGGUGAGAGCUAAUAUCUCUUGCUAAUGACGGUACCUGAAGAAUAAGCACCGGCUAACUACGUGCCAGCAGCCGCGGUAAUACGUAGGGUGCAAGCGUUAAUCGGAAUUACUGGGCGUAAAGCGUGCGCAGGCGGUUUUGUAAGUCUGAUGUGAAAUCCCCGGGCUCAACCUGGGAAUUGCAUUGGAGACUGCAAGGCUAGAAUCUGGCAGAGGGGGGUAGAAUUCCACGUGUAGCAGUGAAAUGCGUAGAUAUGUGGAGGAACACCGAUGGCGAAGGCAGCCCCCUGGGUCAAGAUUGACGCUCAUGCACGAAAGCGUGGGGAGCAAACAGGAUUAGAUACCCUGGUAGUCCCAUGA